RNAcentral lists this ribosomal RNA (635 nucleotides) under Bacteroidetes bacterium 215-9. RNAcentral describes it as "SSU rRNA". It matches the Rfam family "Bacterial small subunit ribosomal RNA", at positions 1 to 637 of the family's 1533-position model. Lineage: Bacteria; Pseudomonadati; Bacteroidota. The record is from RNAcentral.
AUUCGACAGAGUUUGAUCCUGGCUCAGGAUGAACGCUAGCGGCAGGCUUAACACAUGCAAGUCGAGGGGUAUUGGUUUUCGGACCAAGAGACCGGCGCACGGGUGCGUAACGCGUAUGCAAUCUACCUUUUACAGAGGGAUAGCCCAGAGAAAUUUGGAUUAAUACCUCAUAGUAUAGCAGUUUCGCAUGAAACCACUAUUAAAGUCACAACGGUAAAAGAUGAGCAUGCGUCCCAUUAGCUUGUUGGUAAGGUAACGGCUUACCAAGGCAACGAUGGGUAGGGGUCCUGAGAGGGAGAUCCCCCACACUGGUACUGAGACACGGACCAGACUCCUACGGGAGGCAGCAGUGAGGAAUAUUGGACAAUGGGCGCAAGCCUGAUCCAGCCAUGCCGCGUGCAGGAUGACGGUCCUAUGGAUUGUAAACUGCUUUUGCACAGGAAGAAACACUCCGACGUGUCGGAGCUUGACGGUACUGUGAGAAUAAGGAUCGGCUAACUCCGUGCCAGCAGCCGCGGUAAUACGGAGGAUCCAAGCGUUAUCCGGAAUCAUUGGGUUUAAAGGGUUCGUAGGCGGCCUUAUAAGUCAGUGGUGAAAUCUCCCCGCUCAACGGGGAAACGGGCAUUGAUACUGUA